ACGUAGGUGGCGAGCGUUGUUCGGAUUUAUUGGGCGUAAAGGGUCCGCAGGGGGUCUGUUAAGUCUGAUGUGAAAUCUCACGGCUCAACCGUGAAACUGCAUUGGAUACUGACGGACUAGAGUAUUGGAGAGGAGAGCGGAAUUCCAGGUGUAGCGGUGGAAUGCGUAGAUAUCUGGAAGAACACCGAAAGCGAAGGCAGCUCUCUGGACAAUUACUGACCCUCAGGGACGAAAGCGUGGGGAUCAAACAG
This 251-nucleotide ribosomal RNA is filed under the name uncultured prokaryote. Its description in RNAcentral is "partial 16S rRNA". It matches the Rfam family "Bacterial small subunit ribosomal RNA", at positions 525 to 775 of the family's 1533-position model. The record is from RNAcentral.